This 253-nucleotide ribosomal RNA is filed under the name uncultured bacterium. RNAcentral describes it as "partial 16S ribosomal RNA". It matches the Rfam family "Bacterial small subunit ribosomal RNA", at positions 524 to 776 of the family's 1533-position model. The record is from RNAcentral.
GACAGAGGGGGCAAGCGUUGCUCGGAAUCACUGGGCGUAAAGGGCGCGUAGGCGGGAUGGCAAGUCGGUCGUGAAAUCCUUCGGCUCAACCGAAGAACGUCGGCCGAUACUGCCGUUCUUGAGGGAUGCAGAGGAGAUUGGAAUUCCCGGUGUAGCGGUGAAAUGUGUAGAGAUCGGGAGGAACACCGGUGGCGAAGGCGGCCUGCUGGGCAGUGGCUGACGCUGAUGCGCGACAGCGUGGGGAGCAAACAGG